AUGUACACGCACAUACAGUUUACAUAUAUAUGUAUGUAUGAGUUUUAUUUUAAGGAAUUGGCCUACAUGAUUGUGGAGCCUGGAAAGUCCAAAGUCCGCAGGAUGGGCCGGGAGGCAGGAGACCUGGGGCCAGGAAGAAUUAAUGCUGCAGUUCAAGUCCUGAGGCCAUCAGCUCCUGGCACUGCACCUGCUGUAGACACGUUCGAAUUUCCUUACCAACCACUUCGAGUCCAUCUCAUGGCAACUCUAAACCAUUUCUGUGUAUCUCUGCUGUGCAGAGAAGGUAAGAAGCAGAUCAUUCUCAUCCCCAAAACAAGGUUUUAUUUUCUUAAAUUUCAAUUAAACUUCUUUUCAAUAUUUUGCUCAUUAGGCAAAGUGACAAGUGUGAUUUUCCAAAACUUUUUUCUUGCUACUCAUGGAAGCCAAUUUUAUAUUGUGGCAUAUGCACUGGGCCAAACACCUUUAAGGAAACUUAUUCAUAGGUGUAGAGGAUUCCUGUGGACCUCCUUAGGAGGCCAUGUGCUGUCUACCACAGGCAGAAAAAGUACUACAUGACACAGAACGUCCUAUUGUGCUAGGAAGUAAAGAAAUGCUCAAGAAAUGAUCAGGGCAUGCAAAAAAGGAUACCAUAAUCAGCUUGAAAGACUUUGUACUAGUUUUCUAGGGCUGCCAUAACAAAGUAUUGCAGCCUGAGUGACUUCAACAGCAGAAACUUGUGUGAGCACAGUUGAGGAAGCUGGAAGUCCAACAUCAAGGCAUCAACAGGAUCGACCACUCUUGCAGCCUCUCUCUAUAGCUUGCAGAUGGCUACCUUCUUUCUGUAUCUUCACACAACCUGCCUAUGUGAAUGCAUUGAGAGAAAAAGGAGAGAUAUUUGGUGUCUCUCUUCUUAUAAGGACACCAAUCCUGUUGGAUUAGGGCCCCAAACUUAUGACCAUAUUUAACCAUAAUUAUGUCUUUAAAGGCCCUAUCUUCUAUUAUAAAUCAUUCUACUAUAAAGACCCAUGCACACAUACAUUUAUUGUGGCACUGUUCACAAUAUCAAAGACUUGGGACCAACCCAAAUGCUCAUCAGUGAUACAGUGGAUAAAGGAAAUGUGGCACAUAUACACUGUGGAAUACUAUACAGCCAUAAAAAAGGCAGAGUUCAUGUCCUUUGCAGGGGCAUGGAUGAAGCUGGAAACCAUCAUUCUCAGCAAACUAACAUAAGAAUAGAAAACCAAACACCACAUGUUCUCACCCAUAAGUGGGAGUUGAACAAUGAGAACACAUGGACACAGGUAGAGGAACAUAACACAUCAGGGGCUGUUGGGGGUGGGGGAUAGGGGAGGGAUAGCAUUAGGAGAAAUACCUAAUAUAAAUGAUGGGUUAAUGGGUGCAGCAAACCACCAUGGCACAUGUAUACCUAUGUAAACUGCAUGUUCUGCACAUGUACCCCAGAACUUAAAAUAUAAUAAAAAUAAAAAAUUAAAAAAUAAUGAAGCCCUUAUCUUCAAAUGCAGUGACUAGGGCUUAGGGUUUCAACAUACACAUUCUGGGCAGGACAGAAUUCAGUCCUUAACAGGCCUCUGGAUCUGUACUGGGAUCCAGGUCCUACUGUGUGAGCAAAAGCAGGUCAAGAAAGCUCUCCGGACAUAGCAGGUGUAGGGAAGUCUGCGUGUGUAGUGCAGGGCAUCUGAGCAUCUGACAAUAGCACAUAGCUUUUAAUUCCACGUUGCUGGAGUGAUUGAAUGCAAGCACAUUCUGUUUGGACAAAUCUGUACCACUUUUCAGUUUCAACAUUUGACCUAUGUCUCCUAUUAGUUGUUUCAUGGGGAAAACAGAAUUUGAUGGCCCUGGAAUGUGUGAACCUACUUGGGUGUCUUGAUCCUGCAAAUAAGAGGCAACACUUUUGGGCUUCUUCAUGGCCUUUAUUAGAUAGUCAUAUAAUAUGACUUGACAUGGCAUAUAGUAGCCCUGUGCAUCACCACUCAAUCCAUCUUCACCACAGCCGGGGUACCUUCAUGUCCAACUGGUCAUGUUCUCAAUGCUCCCUCUCACCCCAAAACCCAACUUAAAGUGAUUCUCAUGGCUAUCCCAAAGGUAAACUGUAAGAUAAAUGGAGCAGAGAUUAUAAAGCAGAAGCACGGAAUCACUCAGAAAUAUGUUUUCUUGUCUAUCAUUCAUUCUUUCUUUCCUACUAUAAAAUAAAUGGAGAAAAAAAAUCUUCAAUAAUGAAAAAAAAUACAAUAUUUUUUGCAUUUCUUUGCAAUGUUUUCCAUAUGUCCAUUCCUGAAUACUACUUUCAAUCCCAGGGCAUAUGCAAUUCUAUAUUCUGCUUUUUAUCUCUAACCUUAGAGAAUUUAAUAUGGUGUGUGGCAGUUUUAAAACAUACCUGCAAAUUGUUUGUCACCCAUCUCAUGGAGGGGUGAUAUCUACGUCUCCUACCCAUGAAUCCGGGAUGACUUAGUGAGCACCUUAUAACCAAUAGAAUGCAGCAGAUGUGACACUGUUUUUAACUUUCAAAACUGGGUCAGAAAUGAUCAGACAGCUCUUGCCUGGUUCUUUUGGGAUAUUAGCUCCAGGGUAGACCAGCAGCAUGGAAGAAGGCCAAGUGUCCUGAGAGCGCUGUGCUGGAAAGCCCACAUGUAGACACUGAAGACAGCCCAGCUGAGCUCACAGCCAACAGCAGCAUCAGCUCUAAACCAUGCAUGUGAGCCAUCUUGGACAUCCAGGCUGGUCAAGUCAUCAGAUGUUUGCAGGCCCAGCUGACAUCUUCCUGCAACUGCAUGAGUAACCUCAAAUGAGAACGGCUCAGCUGAGCCCUUUUCAAGUUUGUGAUGCACAAAAUUAUGAGUAAAAUAAAAUGGUUGCUGUAGGGAACUACAUUUAAAGACAAAUUUUCACACGGUAAUAGUGACCAGAACGAACUGUGGUACCGGGAAAUGAGGGUCCACAAUAAUAGCAAUAUAAACCACAUGCCAUUGGUUUUGAGAAUAGGCAGCAGGUGAGGGCUGGAACGUAAGCUGAAAUCUGAUGGGGCUUGAGAAGUGCCAUAUGUCAGGCAGGGCUUAAAGGAAGGUGAGGGAAAUGUUACAAGAAGCUAAAGAGGAGGAGACCGUGUUUGCAUGGUAGUGGAAAGUUUACCAAAACUAUCACCUGCUGUAAUGUGGAAAAUAGAAAAUGUACUAAGGCAUGUGAUGAUCUACCUAAGAAAAUUUCCAAGCAGAGUGUUUAAGAUGCCAUCUGGCUUCUUAUAAUUGCCUAUGAUAAAAUGGAAGUAGAGAGAAUAAACAGAUAAACUUUAAAAACCAACAAUUUCAUUUUCAAAGGAAAUCUGAAAGAAAUACAGAGGGCUCAAGAGAAUAUUUUCAUUCAGCAAAGAAUUCUUAAAGGAAGAAAGGGCCUUAGGGAAAAAGACCAAACCCAGGGCUCUUUCAAGAAAACACCAUCAAAGGGUAAAAAUGAAGCCAGA
This 3454-nucleotide long non-coding RNA is filed under the name Callithrix jacchus (white-tufted-ear marmoset). Its description in RNAcentral is "lncRNA (ENSCJAG00000079177.1)". The record is from RNAcentral. Lineage: Eukaryota; Metazoa; Chordata; Mammalia; Primates; Cebidae.